UCCGUAGGUGAACCUGCGGAAGGAUCAUUACCGAGUUGAUUCGGGCUCGGCCCGAUCCUCCCACCCUUUGUGUACCUACCUCUGUUGCUUUGGCGGGCCGCGGUCCUCCGCGGCCGCCCCCCUCCCCGGGGGGGUGGCCAGCGCCCGCCAGAGGACCAUCAAACUCCAGUCAGUAAACGAUGCAGUCUGAAAAACAUUUAAUAAACUAAAACUUUCAACAACGGAUCUCUUGGUUCUGGCAUCGAUGAAGAACGCAGCGAAAUGCGAUAAGUAAUGUGAAUUGCAGAAUUCAGUGAAUCAUCGAAUCUUUGAACGCACAUUGCGCCCUUUGGUAUUCCGAAGGGCAUGCCUGUUCGAGCGUCAUUACAACCCUCAAGCUCUGCUUGGUAUUGGGCACCGUCCUUUGCGGGCGCGCCUCAAAGACCUCGGCGGUGGCGUCUUGCCUCAAGCGUAGUAGAACAUACAUCUCGCUUCGGAGCGCAGGGCGUCGCCCGCCGGACGAACCUUCUGAACUUUUCUCAAGGUUGACCUCGGAUCAGGUAGGGAUACCCGCUGAACUUAAGCAUAUCAAUAAGCCGGAGGGAUC
Molecule: ribosomal RNA, 586 nt
Filed under: Botryosphaeria dothidea
Lineage: Eukaryota; Fungi; Ascomycota; Dothideomycetes; Botryosphaeriales; Botryosphaeriaceae
Description: eukaryotic LSU rRNA
Rfam family: 5.8S ribosomal RNA (bases 210-363)
Source: RNAcentral